CCCAGACUCCUACGGGAGGCAGCAGUGAGGAAUAUUGGUCACUGGACGAGAGUCUGAACCAGCCAAGUAGCGUGAAGGAUGACUGCCCUAUGGGUUGUAAACUUCUUUUAUAUGGGAAUAAAAUGUUCCACGUGUGGGAUUUUGUAUGUACCAUAUGAAUAAGGAUCGGCUAACUCCGUGCCAGCAGCCGCGGUAAUACGGAGGAUCCGAGCGUUAUCCGGAUUUAUUGGGUUUAAAGGGAGCGUAGGUGGAUUGUUAAGUCAGCGGUAAAAGGUCGGGGCUCAACCCCGGCCUGCCGUUGAAACUGGCGGCCUCGAGUGGGCGAGAAGUAUGCGGAAUGCGUGGUGUAGCGGUGAAAUGCAUAGAUAUAACGCAGAACUCCGAUUGCGAAGGCAGCAUACCGGCGCCCGACUGACGCUGAGGCACGAAAGCGUGGGGAUCGAACAGGAUUAGAUACCCCUGUACUC
Molecule: ribosomal RNA, 467 nt
Filed under: uncultured bacterium
Lineage: Bacteria
Description: bacterial SSU rRNA
Rfam family: Bacterial small subunit ribosomal RNA
Source: RNAcentral